This 30-nucleotide small nuclear RNA is filed under the name Arabidopsis thaliana (thale cress). RNAcentral's name for it is "snRNA_00027". The record is from RNAcentral. Lineage: Eukaryota; Viridiplantae; Streptophyta; Magnoliopsida; Brassicales; Brassicaceae.
UAAGUGGGAGCUUCGGCGCAAGUGAAAUAC